GGGGGCAUAGCGCAGCCCGGAAAGCGCAAGCGCCUUACAAGCGAGAGGUCCCUGGUUCAAAUCCAGGUGCCCCCACCA
RNAcentral lists this transfer RNA (78 nucleotides) under Chloroflexota bacterium. RNAcentral's name for it is "Chloroflexi bacterium tRNA-Val". It matches the Rfam family "tRNA". Rfam says of the family: Transfer RNA (tRNA) molecules are approximately 80 nucleotides in length. Their secondary structure includes four short double-helical elements and three loops (D, anti-codon, and T loops). The record is from RNAcentral. Lineage: Bacteria; Bacillati; Chloroflexota.